This 451-nucleotide ribosomal RNA is filed under the name Halorubrum saccharovorum. RNAcentral's name for it is "bacterial SSU rRNA". It matches the Rfam family "Archaeal small subunit ribosomal RNA", at positions 1 to 455 of the family's 1478-position model. The record is from RNAcentral. Lineage: Archaea; Methanobacteriati; Methanobacteriota; Halobacteria; Halobacteriales; Haloferacaceae.
AUUCCGGUUGAUCCUGCCGGAGGCCAUUGCUAUUGGGAUUCGAUUUAGCCAUGCUAGUCGCACGAGUUUAGACUCGUGGCGAAUAGCUCAGUAACACGUGGCCAAACUACCCUUCGGAGCUCCAUACCCUCGGGAAACUGAGGCUAAUAGAGCAUACCACAAUCCAGCUGGAAUGAGGAUUGUGCCAAACGCUCCGGCGCCGAAGGAUGUGGCUGCGGCCGAUUAGGUAGACGGUGGGGUAACGGCCCACCGUGCCAAUAAUCGGUACGGGUCAUGAGAGUGAGAACCCGGAGACGGAAUCUGAGACAAGAUUCCGGGCCCUACGGGCGCAGCAGGCGCGAAACCUUUACACUCCACGACAGUGCGAUAAGGGAAUCCCAAGUCGCAGGCAUAGAGCCUGCGCUUUUGUACACCGUAGGGAGGUGUACGAAUAAGGGCUGGGCAAGACCGG